Molecule: long non-coding RNA, 874 nt
Filed under: Homo sapiens (human)
Lineage: Eukaryota; Metazoa; Chordata; Mammalia; Primates; Hominidae
Description: HSALNT0306181
Rfam family: ZEB2 antisense RNA 1 conserved region 2 (bases 182-242)
Source: RNAcentral
GAACUGCCAUGUCUAAGAGAAAGACUUGCCCCCGAAUUUGUAGGUCUGUAACUGACCAAGUUUUGUAAUUAUUAACAGGUAUUUGCCAAGUCCUAAUUGCUGAAUAUAAUGAAUUGGAACUAGAUGCGAAAAUAGAGCAGGACCUCUCCCCUUGAUGAGUUUUUAUUCCAGCCAUAUAAUUCUCAAUAAAACUUUUCCUGGGCUGGAUAGCAAAGGACACCUUUGGUUACCUGAAUGAACAGGUACAGGGGAAAUUAUUUGGGGGAGGGAAAAAGGAGAGAAAAGCAAGGAGAGAGAGUGUGAGUGUAAGAGAAAGCGAAGAAGCCACUCUUGAGAAAAGCUUGCCAUAAAGGAGCUAAACCCACCUGAAAUUCCUACCCACGGACACCCCUUCUCACUUCAGACUCACAUCCCCACUCAAAAUGAGAAAAUUAGAAAAGGAGGAUGGAGGACGAGCACACCAAAAAGGGAUAAAAAGAGAGAAAAGGGGAGGAAAAAAAACCUACCUGCGAAGUCUUGUUUGUAGUUUUGGCCAGAAAUGGUGAGAAGAAAAAGCAUGAAGAAGCCGCGAAGUGUGGGGGAGAAAAAGGUGGAAGCGAAGAAACAGCUCCCGGAGCAAACUGUACAAAAACCUCGCCAAGAGUGUCGGGAGGCAGGACCGUUAUUCCUGCAGAGCAGGAGAGAGACGAGAGACCCUGAAACACGCGCCACCUAUCUUUGUGGGGAGGGAUAAUUGAAGCGCCCUGAGCGUACCAGAGCCAGAAAAAAAAAUGCUGCAUGGGAGCUGCAUCUUAGGGCAUGUGUAUUAGGGUGUGUGCAUGAUGAAUUUCUGGACUGGAUCCCAAUAUUAAAAAGUAGUUUGGCAUUUUAAUAA